ACAGCCUACUGCAGGCACGGCCCAGGGGGCAGCCUGGGACAGCCCCAGAGGACGGGAAACACUGCCCUUGUGGGGGCGGGGAGGGCACACGCGGCUGUUCAAGAUUUAGAAGAUUGGUGAUCAAGUCUGGAGGCUUUGCUAUCAAUGGCGUAUAAACAGAAAAACCACAAAUUAUAUAGAGGUAAUAAAGAUUUUUACAAAAUUUGUGUUCAAACAGUAAUGCUUUAGGGACUUCCCAGGUGGUGCAGUGGUUAAGAAUCUGCCUGCCAAUGCAGGGGACACGGGUUUGCGCCCUGAUCCAGGAAGAUCCCACAUGCCACGGAGCAACUAAGCCCAUGUGCCACAACUAUUGAGCCCAUGUGCUGUAACUACUGAAGCCUAUGCACCUAGAGCCUGUGCUCCACAGCAAAAGAAGCCAUCACAAUGAGGAGCCCACACACCACAAUGAAGAGUAGCCCCCGCUCACUGCAACUAGAAAACGCCCAUGUGCAGCAACAAAGACCCAGUGCAGCCAACGAAUAAAUAAAUUUAUUCAAAAAACCCACAAUUAACAUGAUAUUUAAAAAAAAGUAAUGCUUUAAGUGAUUAAAGUGGAAAUAUUUUAUGAAAAUAUAAAUUAAAACAAGUGUAAAAUUAUUAAAAAUUAAUAUUUUCAUGUUUUUGAAAAUUAUUUUUCUUUUAAAAUAUUAAAACUUAAAUGCAAAUUUUAAAAAUACAUAUUCAUCUUAAAUAAA
Hippopotamus amphibius kiboko is the source of this 734-nucleotide long non-coding RNA. RefSeq lists it as uncharacterized. The record is from RefSeq and is a predicted model, not a curated record. The transcript is spliced from 3 exons. Lineage: Eukaryota; Metazoa; Chordata; Mammalia; Artiodactyla; Hippopotamidae.